AGUGAACGCUGGCGGCAGGCCUAACACAUGCAAGUCGAGCGGCAGCGCGGGGGCAACCCUGGCGGCGAGCGGCGGACGGGUGAGGAAUUCGUCGGAAUCUGCCUUUUUGUGGGGGAUAACGUAGGGAAACUUACGCUAAUACCGCAUACGUCCUACGGGAGAAAGUGGGGGACCGCAAGGCCUCACGCAGAAAGAUGAGCCGACGACCGAUUAGCUAGUUGGUGGGGUAAAGGCCCACCAAGGCGACGAUCGGUAGCUGGUCUGAGAGGAUGAUCAGCCACCCGGGGACUGAGACACGGCCCAGACUCCGACGGGAGGCAGCAGUGGGGAAUAUUGGACAAUGGGCGCAAGCCUGAUCCAGCCAUGCCGCGUGUGUGAAGAAGGCCUUCGGGUUGUAAAGCACUUUUGUCCGGAAAGAAAUCCCUGGAGCUAAUACCUUCGGGGGAUGACGGUACCGGAAGAAUAAGCCCCGGCUAACUUCGUG
This 484-nucleotide ribosomal RNA is filed under the name uncultured bacterium. Its description in RNAcentral is "partial 16S ribosomal RNA". It matches the Rfam family "Bacterial small subunit ribosomal RNA", at positions 30 to 507 of the family's 1533-position model. The record is from RNAcentral.